Molecule: non-coding RNA, 124 nt
Filed under: Pseudomonas aeruginosa
Lineage: Bacteria; Pseudomonadati; Pseudomonadota; Gammaproteobacteria; Pseudomonadales; Pseudomonadaceae
Also listed under: 1 other name
Description: triclosan efflux RND transporter permease subunit TriC
Rfam family: Pseudomonas sRNA 6
Source: RNAcentral
CGUCGCCGUAGCAACGCCGGGCAUACCCUGCCCGGCGUCGGGGCGGAUGGCCCACCCGCCGUCCGCUCUCCUUCCCCCCGCACAGACUCUGCUACGGCGGCGCCCCCUUCCCCUUACGCCGCGC